CCUACGGGUGGCUGCAGUGGGGAAUUUUGGACAAUGGGGGCAACCCUGAUCCAGCCAUGCCGCGUGAGUGAAGAAGGCCUUCGGGUUGUAAAGCUCUUUUGUCUGGGAAGAAAAGGCGUCGGUUAAUACCUGGCGUUCUUGACGGUACCGGAAGAAUAAGCACCGGCUAACUACGUGCCAGCAGCCGCGGUAAUACGUAGGGUGCGAGCGUUAAUCGGAAUUACUGGGGGUAAAGCUUGCGUAGGAUGUUAAAGCCCUGUGCUUAACCUAGGAAUGGCAUUGGAAACUGGCGGGCUAGAGUGCGGCAGAGGGGGGUGGAAUUCCUGGUGUAGCAGUGAAAUGCGUAGAGAUCAGGAGGAACACCGAUGGCGAAGGCAGCCCCCUGGGUUGACACUGACGCUCAGGCACGAAAGCGUGGGGAGCAAACAGGAUUAGAUACCCCAGUAGUC
Molecule: ribosomal RNA, 449 nt
Filed under: uncultured bacterium
Lineage: Bacteria
Description: partial 16S ribosomal RNA
Rfam family: Bacterial small subunit ribosomal RNA
Source: RNAcentral